GACGAACGCUGGCGGCGUGCUUAACACAUGCAAGUCGAACGGAAAGGCCCUGCUUUUGUGGGGUGCUCGAGUGGCGAACGGGUGAGUAACACGUGAGUAACCUGCCCUUGACUUUGGGAUAACUUCAGGAAACUGGGGCUAAUACCGGAUAGGAGCUCCUGCUGCAUGGUGGGGGUUGGAAAGUUUCGGCGGUUGGGGAUGGACUCGCGGCUUAUCAGCUUGUUGGUGGGGUAGUGGCUUACCAAGGCUUUGACGGGUAGCCGGCCUGAGAGGGUGACCGGCCACAUUGGGACUGAGAUACGGCCCAGACUCCUACGGGAGGCAGCAGUGGGGAAUAUUGCACAGUGGGCGGAAGCCUGAUGCAGCAACGCCGCGUGCGGGAUGACGGCCUUCGGGUUGUAAACCGCUUUCGCCUGUGACGAAGCGUGAGUGACGGUAAUGGGUAAAGAAGCACCGGCUAACUACGCG
RNAcentral lists this ribosomal RNA (468 nucleotides) under uncultured bacterium. RNAcentral's name for it is "partial 16S ribosomal RNA". It matches the Rfam family "Bacterial small subunit ribosomal RNA", at positions 28 to 507 of the family's 1533-position model. The record is from RNAcentral.